GGGGCCGAUCUGGAUUCGACAGCGGCUUCGUGUGGUGUGUGCGCAUGCCGGGCGAUGAGGACAGGCCCGUACAAAACGAUCCUUGCGCCAUAACUGGCGAAGUAGACUACGCUCUCGCGGCCUAAUAGCCUCAGGCUAUCGGCCUUAUUCACGUGAACAACAGUAGCGUGAACGAGUGCCCCUCGGUGAGGCCCGCCUUCCUCCUUGCCGGCCCAGGGGUAUCAUCAUGGAAGGCUGGUCGGCCCGGUGGUCCGGAGGGUCGGCGAGAAACAGGACCUAAGCCCGCGCUAGGGUGCCUUUCCCCAGGCACGGGUCGAAAAUCAAUGAACAGGCUAAGCAUGUAGGGCGCCCGCUUCACGGUCGUUUGGACGAGGGUUCGAUCCCCUCCGGCUCCACAG
Molecule: transfer-messenger RNA, 398 nt
Filed under: Flavobacteriales
Lineage: Bacteria; Pseudomonadati; Bacteroidota; Flavobacteriia
Also listed under: 1 other name
Description: PHOS-HE28 sp016788635 Standard tmRNA
Rfam family: transfer-messenger RNA
About the family: Bacterial tmRNA, also known as 10Sa RNA or SsrA, is named for its dual tRNA and mRNA-like properties. Its role is to liberate the mRNA from a stalled ribosome.
Source: RNAcentral